CCUACGGGCGGCAGCAGUGGGGGAUAUUGCACAAUGGGGGGAACCCUGAUGCAGCGACGCCGCGUGGGUGAAGAAGGGCCUCGGAGCGUAAAGCCCUGUCAGCAGGGAAGAAAAUGCCGGUACCUGAAGAAGAAGCCCCGGCUAACUACGUGCCAGCAGCCGCGGUAAUACGUAGGGGGCAAGCGUUAUCCGGAUUUAAUGGGUGUAAAGGGGGCGCAGACGGCGAGGCAAGUCAGGAGUGAAAGCCCGGGGGCCAACCCCGGGACUGCUCUUGGAACUGCGUGGCUGGAGUGCAGGAGGGGCAGGCGGAAUUCCUGGUGUAGCGGUGAAAUGCGUAGAUAUCAGGAGGAACACCGGUGGCGAAGGCGGCCUGCUGGACUGCAACUGACGUUGAGGCCCGAAAGCGUGGGGAGCAAACAGGAUUAGAUACCCUAGUAGUC
Molecule: ribosomal RNA, 440 nt
Filed under: uncultured bacterium
Lineage: Bacteria
Description: partial 16S ribosomal RNA
Rfam family: Bacterial small subunit ribosomal RNA
Source: RNAcentral